UACGUAGGGUGCAAGCGUUGUCCGGAAUUAUUGGGCGUAAAGAGCUCGUAGGCGGCCUGUUACGUCUGCUGUGAAAUCCCGGGGCUUAACCCCGGGCGUGCAGUGGAUACGGGCAGGCUGGAGGCAGGCAGGGGAGAACGGAAUUCCCAGUGUAGAGGUGAAAUUCGUAGAUAUUGGGAAGAACACCGGUGGCGAAGGCGGCUCUCUGGACCGUAACUGACGCUGAGGCGCGAAAGCGUGGGGAGCAAACAGG
This 253-nucleotide ribosomal RNA is filed under the name uncultured bacterium. RNAcentral describes it as "partial 16S ribosomal RNA". It matches the Rfam family "Bacterial small subunit ribosomal RNA", at positions 524 to 776 of the family's 1533-position model. The record is from RNAcentral.